CUGCUUCAGGGCUCGAGA
This 18-nucleotide small nuclear RNA is filed under the name Arabidopsis thaliana (thale cress). RNAcentral describes it as "snRNA_15892". Lineage: Eukaryota; Viridiplantae; Streptophyta; Magnoliopsida; Brassicales; Brassicaceae. The record is from RNAcentral.